This 584-nucleotide ribosomal RNA is filed under the name bacterium DWS1D. RNAcentral describes it as "bacterial SSU rRNA". It matches the Rfam family "Bacterial small subunit ribosomal RNA", at positions 349 to 906 of the family's 1533-position model. The record is from RNAcentral.
GAGCAUUGAGGACUAUUGGUCCAAGCAGGCAGCUGUCAUCCAGCCAGUCCGAAGACAGCAUGACGGUCGUAUGGUUKGUUAAGUGGUGAGGAACAGGAAGAAAGAAUUAUACUCGUAUCAUCGUAACUCGUCGGUACCAAAAAAGAAAGCAUCGACUCAACUCCGCACCAGCAGCCGCGGUAAUACGGAGGAUCCGAGCGUUAUCUUAAUAUGAAAUUAUUGGGUUUAAAGGGUUGCGCACGUAGGCGGUUAGAUCAAGUCAGAGGAGAAAUCCCCUAGAUUAACGUAGGGCAAUUGCAUUAAUGACUGGUUUCAAGAGUAAUAGUAUAGGGAAGUAAGUAGAACAUGUAGAGCAGCGAAGAAAGGAUUAGAUAUGACAAAGAAUACCUAACGGUGGAGAAGGCCCCUUAGUACGUAAUUAUAGACUCAUGACGAACGAAAGCGUGCGGAGCGAACAAGAUUAAAUACCGUGGUAGUCCACGCCGGAUACGAUGGAUACUAGGUGUUCGCUCUUCCCAGGAGUGAGUCUUUCGGAUGAUAAGUAUCCCACCUGGGGAGUACGUAGUACAGAAUGAAAGUCAAAG